RNAcentral lists this ribosomal RNA (445 nucleotides) under uncultured bacterium. RNAcentral's name for it is "partial 16S ribosomal RNA". It matches the Rfam family "Bacterial small subunit ribosomal RNA", at positions 354 to 796 of the family's 1533-position model. The record is from RNAcentral.
GUAGGGAAUAUUGGGCAAUGGAUGCAAGUCUGACCCAGCCAUCCCGCGUGCCGGAAGAAGGCCCUCAGGGUUGUAAACGGCUUUUGACGGUGAAGAAUCGACAGGAUGCGUCCUGUUUUGACGGUAGCCGUUGAAUAAGCACCGGCUAACUCCGUGCCAGCAGCCGCGGGAAUACGGAGGGUGCGAGCGUUGUCCGGAUUUAUUGGGUUUAAAGGGUGCGUAGGCUGGAAGGUCAGUCAGCGGUGAAAAGCUGUCGCUUAACGAUAGUCUUGCCGCAGAUACUUCCUUUCUUGGAUGAGGAGGAGGCCACUGGAACGGAUGGUGUAGCGGUGAAAUGCAUAGAUAUCAUCCAGAACACCGAUUACGAAGGCAGGUGGCUGUACCUUAAUCGACGCUGAUGCACGAAAGCAUGGGGAGCAAACAGGAUUAGAAACCCGGGUAGUCC